GAGAAGAACGCAGCGAAAUGCGAUAAGUAAUGUGAAUUGCAGAAUUCCGUGAAUCAUCGAAUCUUUGAACGCACAUUGCGCCCCCUGGUAUUCCGGGGGGCAUGCCUGUCCGAGCGUCAUUGCAACCCUCAAGCGCGGCUUGUGUGUUGGGCUUCGUCCCCCCGUGGACGUGCCCGAAAGGCAGUGGCGGCGUCCCGAAUGGUGCCCGAGCGUAUGGGAACUCUCUUCCGCUCGAACCGGCCCAUUCGGCGCUGGUCGAACCCCAAUUUUUUUUUACCGGUUGACCUCGGAUCAGGUAGGGAUACCCGCUGAACUUAAGAAUAUCAAUAAGCGGAGGA
RNAcentral lists this unclassified non-coding RNA (338 nucleotides) under soil metagenome. RNAcentral's name for it is "partial contains 5.8S ribosomal RNA, internal transcribed spacer 2, and large subunit ribosomal RNA". The stretch from base 3 to 119 matches the Rfam family "5.8S ribosomal RNA", at positions 38 to 154 of the family's 154-position model. The record is from RNAcentral.